This is a small nuclear RNA of Gorilla gorilla gorilla (western lowland gorilla), 102 nucleotides long. NCBI's taxonomy places the organism in Eukaryota, Metazoa, Chordata, Mammalia, Primates, Hominidae. The record is from Ensembl.
GUGCUCGCCUUGGCAGCACAUACACUAAAAUGGGAACAAUACGGAGAAGAUGAGCAUGACCCCUAAAGAGUAAAAAAUAAACCAGUAAUGAUGCACUAAUUG